UACGUAGGGUGCAAGCGUUAAUCUGAAUUACUGGGCGUAAAUCGUGCGCAGGCGGUGAUGUAAGACAGAUGUGAAAUCCCCGGGCUCAACCUGGGAACUGCAUUUGUGACUGCAUCGCUGGAGUGCGGCAGAGGGGGAUGGAAUUCCGCGUGUAGCAGUGAAAUGCGUAGAUAUGCGGAGGAACACCGAUGGCGAAGGCAAUCCCCUGGGCCUGUACUGACGCUCACGCACGAAAGCGUGGGGAGCAAACAGG
RNAcentral lists this ribosomal RNA (253 nucleotides) under uncultured bacterium. Its description in RNAcentral is "partial 16S ribosomal RNA". It matches the Rfam family "Bacterial small subunit ribosomal RNA", at positions 524 to 776 of the family's 1533-position model. The record is from RNAcentral.